AUGCAACCUACCCAUAACAGGGGGGAUAACACUGAGAAAUUGGUACUAAUACCCAAUGACGUCUCUAGAAGACAUCUGAAAGAGAUUAAAGAUUUAUCGGUGAUGGAUGGGGAUGCGUCUGAUUAGCUUGUUGGCGGGGUAACGGCCCACCAAGGCGACGAUCAGUAGGGGGUUCUGAGAGGAAGGUCCCCCACAUUGGAACUGAGACGCGGUCCAAACUCCUACGGGAGGCAGCAGUGAGGAAUAUUGGUCAAUGGACGAGAGUCUGAACCAGCCAAGUAGCGUGCAGGAAGACGGCCCUAUGGGUUGUAAACUGCUUUUAUAAGGGAAUAAAGUGAGUCUCGUGAGACUUUUGCAUGUACCUUAUGAAUAAGGACCGGCUAAUUCCGUG
This 391-nucleotide ribosomal RNA is filed under the name uncultured bacterium. Its description in RNAcentral is "bacterial SSU rRNA". It matches the Rfam family "Bacterial small subunit ribosomal RNA", at positions 119 to 507 of the family's 1533-position model. The record is from RNAcentral.